UACGACUACAUAUCAGGCAUAUCAAUAAGCGGAGGAAAAGAAACUAACAAGGAUUCCCUUAGUAACGGCGAGUGAAGCGGGAAGAGCUCAAAUUUGAAAUCUUCAAGGUUCUACCUUGACGAAUUGUAGUUUAAAGAAGUGUUUUCUGUUAGAUGAGUAGCAAAAGUUCCUUGGAAUGGGACAUCAUAGAGGGUGAGAAUCCCGUAUUUGGUUAUUCAUUCUAGCUUUGUGAUACACUUUCAAAGAGUCGGAUUGUUUGGGAAUGCAGUCCAAAAUGGGUGGUAAAUUUCAUCUAAAGCUAAAUAUUGGCGAGAGACCGAUAGCGAACAAGUACCGUGAGGGAAAGAUGUAAAAGAACUUUGAAAAGAGAGUUAAACAGUACGUGAAAUUGUCAAAAGGGAAGCGUUUGACACCAGUGUUGUUUAGUUGAAAAUCAAUUCAAUAGUUUUUGAUUCUAAGUAGUAUUGACUUCAUCAGCUUGCUGCUUUCUUCUCAGAAAUUAUUGAAUGCACUUUUCAGUUAACAAGUCAACAUCAAUUUCUUUUGUUGUAAAAGGGUAAGAGGAAGGUGGCUUGCGCUUCGGCUCAAGUGUUUAUAGCCUUUUAUCUCUGCAAUCGGAGAGAUUGAGGUCCGCAGCGUAGAUCCUUCGGGGUUAGAUACAUUGGUGCUAAGCUAUAGCCUUGUAUAGACAACUUGUUGACUAUGCUCAGUCAUGUAGCUUACUCGCUGAUGCUAUUUUACCUACGCUUAGGAUGUUGAGUAGCGACAUACGCAC
RNAcentral lists this ribosomal RNA (775 nucleotides) under uncultured Neocallimastigales. RNAcentral's name for it is "partial large subunit ribosomal RNA". It matches the Rfam family "Eukaryotic large subunit ribosomal RNA", at positions 24 to 649 of the family's 3401-position model. Lineage: Eukaryota; Fungi; Neocallimastigomycota; Neocallimastigomycetes; Neocallimastigales. The record is from RNAcentral.